GGCAGGAUCCAGAGUCAUAUUUGUGUCUAAAGUGUAGGAUAUAAUGAUGCCUUGAACCUAAUUGUCCUGCUUGACUACAUGCAUUUAUAUCCACACAUUUAAUGGAUAUAAUAGCUUAUUUACCAGUUUUUAAUGAGCUCAUUUCUACUCAGCUCCAGUCCUUGCAAGGGUGAUGUAUGGGGACAACAGAAUCAGUAUUUCUUCUACUGAACAAACACAGGUAGUGUAGAAAGGUGCUGAGCUUCUGUAGGUAGAAGUACAUUGAAGAUCCUCAUGAUCCAGAAGCAUGAAGAUAAGCUUGAAAGGCACAUUUAAAAGGCUGAUUGUCAAGUUAAGCUCUCAAAACAUCUCUCUCAUUUUUUUUUUGUAUCUGAGGAGUACCAUUUCUUCCAGGAAUGUCUCUGUUGCUUCAUUACUUCUACGUUUGCAUUUCUGGAUUACUCUGUGGAGAAACCAGGCCAUGGUGUGCUUCUUCAUUAAUGAGAUUCACAAGCAGGCUGCAUGCCAUGUCUGUGUUGUUAAGAAGAGAAAUGGGAAGUAUUCACAGAUUAACUGCAGGGAGGUCAAUAAACAGACAUCGUACCAGGAAACAAGUGGAGAACGUGAUAGUCACACCUGCUGCAUUGGAUCUGUCACACAGGCUGACUGCAUGAAGAAAUGA
RNAcentral lists this long non-coding RNA (661 nucleotides) under Junco hyemalis (dark-eyed junco). RNAcentral's name for it is "lncRNA (ENSJHYG00000009488.1)". Lineage: Eukaryota; Metazoa; Chordata; Aves; Passeriformes; Passerellidae. The record is from RNAcentral.